This 463-nucleotide ribosomal RNA is filed under the name uncultured bacterium. RNAcentral describes it as "partial 16S ribosomal RNA". It matches the Rfam family "Bacterial small subunit ribosomal RNA", at positions 28 to 507 of the family's 1533-position model. The record is from RNAcentral.
GACGAACGCUGGCGGCGUGCUUAACACAUGCAAGUCGAACGGUGAACCUCUUCGGAGGGGAUCAGUGGCGAACGGGUGAGUAACACGUGGGCAACCUGCCCCCGGCUCUGGGAUAACUCCAAGAAAUCGGGGCUAAUACCGGAUGUUCACAGCUUCCCGCAUGGGGGGUGGUGGAAAGGGUUUCCGGCGGGGGAUGGGCCCGCGGCCUAUCAGCUGGUCGGUGAGGUAGUGGCCUUCCAAUGCGGCGACGGAAAGCCGGCCAGGGAGCGUGGCCGGCCACACUGGGACUGCGACACGGCGCAGACUCCUACGUGAGGCAGCAGUGGGGAAUAUUGCGCAAUGGGCCGAAGCCUGACGCAGCGACGCCGCGUGGGGGAUGACGGCCUUCGGGUUGUAAACCUCUUUCAGCAGGGACGAAGCGCAAGUGACGGUACCUGCAGAAGAAGCACCGGCCAACUACGUG